CUGUAGUAUUGAGAUGGACGGUCUAGUCGAUCGAUCUCGAUCUCGUAAUGAGAGUGUUGGUUAUGUCCAAGUGGUUUGAGCGUAGCGACCACAGGAGCGGAAGCUCGGUCAUACUGCUCGUAUGAGUGGAGUCGUCAAGUCUGGUGUUGUCGACGAGUUGAGAUUGAGUGCGCGAACAGAGUGUUCGUGCGGACUCAUCGCGAGAACGGUGUGGCGUUGAAGCGUGGCUGAGGGAAGAAAAUGUUCUCUAUGAGACAUUGGAUCUAUGGUAAUCCACGUGGGGUUUUGAUGGACUAGGCUCUCAGAUAAUUAGAAUUAGUAGAUGUGCUGAAGUGUGCCAUCUCAUUUUGAAGCUGAAGUCCGUGUGCGAUUAGAGCGCUCGCAAUUGAGCGAUGCAUGGUGAUGUCGCAUGAAGCGAUGCCGAUUGAGGAACCAGAGUGAGUUUCACCGAGGAGUAGUGAAUGCAGUGAAGAGUCAUACAUAGCGAGGUAGACUCUUAAAUGCCUAGAAUGGUAGAGUGCCAUCUUGUGGACUCCUGUGUGAAUCGAGGAGGUCUACCCAUAUAUAAUGUGAAGUGGUGGUGAACUAUUUGAUUAAGUGGGUAGUACGGCUCUCGAAGAAAGUGGUGUUCGGUGGCAUUAAUAGGUGUCGUA
This 653-nucleotide long non-coding RNA is filed under the name Ananas comosus (pineapple). RNAcentral's name for it is "long non-coding RNA (ACOM_LNC043141)". The record is from RNAcentral. Lineage: Eukaryota; Viridiplantae; Streptophyta; Magnoliopsida; Poales; Bromeliaceae.